AAAACAUUAAACAACGAUUCAUAGAAAUAACUGUAUAUUUACCAUUUGUUGAAGGUUAAGAUGAAAACAGAAAAAUCUCCCCUGUGGAAGUGACAUUUAUGUGACUUGAAGGAGGAAGAGGAGAGAGUCAGCAGCCAUCACCAGACAUCUGGCUUUGGAAGCAGUUUUGCUGAAGAGCACACAACCUGUGCCACUGAAUCCAAACAGCAUUCAUUCUUGGUGGUCGCGAGCAUCCUUGCAUCCAGAGAAAGGAAUCACUUUGCUAUUUUUUAUGGUUUAAUUAUAUUAUUGCAUAAAACAUUUUGGCUGUAUAACUUUCUGGACUUCCCUGUUUUACAACCAAUAAUCCCGCUGAAAUGUGAAAUGUACCUAAAAUUAACAAAGACAGUGUCUCAUCCCACAUCUCUGAUUUCAUUUAGGCUUGAAGAAGUAGUCCAACAUCACACAGAGUACAAAGCACGGGAGCAGAGAGACCUAGGUUUGCUCCCAGCUCUGUGCCACAAAGUCACUCAUUGGUGACCUAAACCAUCUAUAUUCUCUCACCAACCCAGUCUAUUGCUUGUCUGUCUCUGGGAAUAUCAAGAAAAAAAAAAUGGAGAAGAAGGAGUCUUAAUGGAAUGUGUUCCCCUUAAUUAUCAUUAUAUCAGUCUCUUUUCCC
This is a long non-coding RNA of Herpailurus yagouaroundi (jaguarundi), 658 nucleotides long. RefSeq lists it as uncharacterized. Lineage: Eukaryota; Metazoa; Chordata; Mammalia; Carnivora; Felidae. The transcript is spliced from 3 exons. The record is from RefSeq and is a predicted model, not a curated record.